RNAcentral lists this ribosomal RNA (1335 nucleotides) under Triticum aestivum (bread wheat). RNAcentral's name for it is "partial small subunit ribosomal RNA". The record is from RNAcentral. Lineage: Eukaryota; Viridiplantae; Streptophyta; Magnoliopsida; Poales; Poaceae.
AUGGAUUCCAUCUUGGCGAAUGAAACUUGGGAGAUAACUGAUCGUCCUUAUGGGUGCAAACCUACAGGAUGCAAAUGGGUAUUCAAGAAGAAGCUUAGGCCUGAUGGUAUUAUCGAAAAGUACAAGGCUCGGCUCGUGGCUAAGGGUUAUACCCAAAAGGAAGGUGAAGACUUCUUUGAUACUUACUCACCUGUGGCUCGACUGACCACUAUUCGAGUUCUACUUUCACUAGCCGCCUCACAUGGUCUUCUCGUUCAUCAGAUGGAUGUUAAGACUGCUUUCCUAAAUGGAGAGUUGGAUGAGGAAAUUUAUAUGGAACAACCAGAUGGGUUUGUAAUAGAUGGUCAGGAAGGGAAAGUGUGCAAGUUGCUGAAGUCUUUGUAUGGACUCAAGCAAGCACCCAAACAGUGGCAUGAGAAGUUCGAAAGAACUUUAACAGCUGCAGGCUUUGUUGUGAACGAAGCUGGCAAAUGUGUGUACUAUCGCCAUGGUGGGGGCAAGGGAGUUAUGCUUUGCUUGUAUGUUGAUGACAUACUGAUUUUCGGAACAAAUUUGAAUGUUAUUAAGGAGGUCAAGGAUUUUCUAUCUCGCUGUUUUGAGAUGAAGGAUUUAGGAGUGGCUGAUGUCAUUCUGAACAUCAAGUUGUUGAGAGAUGAUGAUGGUGGGAUUACAUUGCUUCAAUCUCACUAUGUGGAAAAGAUCUUGAGUCGCUUUGGCUAUAGUGACUGCAAGCCCUCUCCAACACCAUAUGAUGCUAGUGUGCUGCUUCGAAAGAAUCGAAGAAUUGCUAGAGAUCAAUUGAAGUAUUCUCAGAUUAUUGGCUCGCUUAUGUACUUAGCCAGUGCUACAAGACCUGACAUCUCUUUUGCUGUUAGCAAACUGAGUCGGUUUGUCUCAAAACCAGGAGAUGUGCAUUGGAAAGCUCUAGAGAGAGUUUUGCGUUAUUUGAAAGGCACUGCAAAUUAUGGAAUUCACUACACCGGGCACCCAAAGGUGCUUGAAGGGUAUAGUGACUCAAACUGGAUCUCAGAUGCUGAUGAGAUAAAGGCCACGAGCGGAUAUGUAUUCACUCAUGGAGGUGGCCCUGUUUCUUGGAUGUCUUGCAAGCAGAUCAUCUUAACGAGGUCAACAAUGGAAGCAGAACUCACAGCACUAGAUACAGCUACGGUUGAAGCAGAUUGGCUUCGCCGGCUCUUGAAUGACUUGCCGGUUGUUGAGAAACCUGUACCGGGUGUCCUUAUGAACUGCGACAAUCAAACUAUGAUCACGAAAGUGAGCAGCUCAAAGGAUAACAUGAAGUCAUCAAGACAUGUUCAAAGAAGAUCCUUUUACUAA